RNAcentral lists this ribosomal RNA (254 nucleotides) under uncultured bacterium. RNAcentral describes it as "partial 16S ribosomal RNA". It matches the Rfam family "Bacterial small subunit ribosomal RNA", at positions 524 to 776 of the family's 1533-position model. The record is from RNAcentral.
GACGUAGGAUGCAAGCGUUGUCCGGAAUUAUUGGGCGUAAAGAGUUCGUAGGCGGUUGCCUAAGUCUGAUGUUAAAAGCCCGGAGCUCAACUCCGGCAUGGCAUUGGAAACUGGGCAGCUAGAGUGCUGUAGAGGUAAUGGGAAUUCCCGGUGUAGCGGUGAAAUGCGUAGAUAUCGAGAGGAACACCUGCGGCGAAGGCGGGUAGCUGGGCCGACACUGACGCUGAAGCGCGAAAGCUAGGGGAGCGAACGGG